GGAGUUGUGGCUCAGUGGUAGAGCGCUCUCCUCGCUCGUGCCAGACCCUGGGUUCGAUCCUCAGCACCA
Molecule: transfer RNA, 69 nt
Filed under: Marmota monax (woodchuck)
Lineage: Eukaryota; Metazoa; Chordata; Mammalia; Rodentia; Sciuridae
Description: tRNA.Ala
Source: RNAcentral